RNAcentral lists this long non-coding RNA (646 nucleotides) under Brassica rapa (field mustard). RNAcentral describes it as "long non-coding RNA (BRAP_LNC007379)". Lineage: Eukaryota; Viridiplantae; Streptophyta; Magnoliopsida; Brassicales; Brassicaceae. The record is from RNAcentral.
AUAAAUACACAUAAAUUUGUAUUUUGAUCGGCAAGAGACGUCGGAGACCAUAUAUGUUUUCACACAAUAAUCAACAGGAAGAACCAUAUUAAUCUUGGAUGAUGCAAUUAAAUAAGAAAAAUGCUUAAAAUUACUAAAUAUAACUACAAAUAGUAAUAAAUAAUUAAAUUAAAAAUUAAUCAAAAAUGAUAUGUGAUAUCAAUAUACAAAGAAGAGAAAGAAAAAAAACCCAAAAAACUAAAGAUUAUAUUACAAAACAAAAUGUAAAACACAUAAAGUUAUACGUAAGUCUUAUAUUAAUUCAGUAUAACUACAUGAAUAAUUUCAUAUGCACAAUAAAUCUAUUAUUUAGUUCAAAAAAAGUAAAAUAAAUCUAUUACACUUAAUAAAACUCUAAUUAUAUAGGAAUCAAGAAGACAACAUAGAAGACCAAGACAACAUAGAAAACCAGCGUCGUUAACAAACAAAAAAAAAAUCUUCUUCUUUACUGUUGUAAAUAUUCUUCUAUGUAUUAGCUUGAUCAAUGAAGAAUUAUUUAAAUAAAUAAGAAUCAAAUGAAAGCAAAAGUUUUUAGGGAAAAUUGUUUUUAGAGCAAACAAAUGAUAACUAUGUCCUUUUAGACUAAUAUUUAUUUUGUGUCAUUUUU